This 670-nucleotide small RNA is filed under the name Malus domestica (apple). RNAcentral's name for it is "sRNA MD16G0155900". Lineage: Eukaryota; Viridiplantae; Streptophyta; Magnoliopsida; Rosales; Rosaceae. The record is from RNAcentral.
UCUCUGAAGUUAUCCAGUCCAAACUCGAAAAGACGGAGAAACUAGUUGCUCUCGCAGUCGGAGAGUCUCAGCUUCCCAGAGCUCCGUUUUCUGUUCAGACUUCAGCCAUAUAAAUCUCGAGCUCUCGUUCUUACCUUUGGAAAAUGAAGUUUCUGGAUUGGUAUUUGAAGAUCGCAUUCGGGUCGGCUCUGAUUGGAGCUUCCAUGGAAUUUUUCAUGAUCAAGACCGGCUUCUGUAUGACAAAGUAACUGUUCUUGAAUCAGAGAAACGGGCUUAUGAAAAUUCGCCAGAGGCCCAAGCUAUCAGGGAAGCUCUCAAUCCGUGGAGAAAUCGUGAUGCAGAAGCAAGCAAGGAAUCCUAAGUUGGCUGGCUGCAUGUUCACAAGGAAGAAGAUAACAGUAUUAGCAGGACAUCAAUCUGGGAAAUAUUGUGAAAGAUGACAUUGUUUCUUCUAGUUGAACAACGUGAGAGGCGACCGUGGUCAUCCCGAAAAUUAUUUCAUUCCUCUUAUUUAUGUAGCUUAUCGUUCUUGUCCUGGGGAACAAGAUCAACAGUUUUUAAAGUAUGUAUGUAGCCAUUUUGGUUGGUUCUUCUAGUACGCAUCUAUAGUUACGAAUGAAUACGCUUGAGAAAAAUUCAUGUCACUCUUGCCUCAGUCUCUUCGCUCUUU